GUGCCAGCAGCCGCGGUAAUACCGGCGCCUCAAGUGGUAGUCGCUUUUAUUGGGCCUAAAAACGUCCGUAGCCGGUUUGGUACAUUCGUGGGUAAAUCAAGGCGCUCAACGUCUUGAAUUCUGCGAGCACGGCCAGACUUGGGACCGGGUGAGGUGUGGGGUACUCUCAGGGUAGGGGUAAAAUCCUGUCAUCCUGAGAGGACCACCUGUUGCGAAGGCGCCACACUAGAACGGAUCCGACGGUCAGGGACGAAGCCUAGGGGCACGAACCGGAUUAGAUACCCGGGUAGUCCUAGGUGUAAACGCUGUGGACUUGAUGUCGGGAGUGCUCCGAGCACCCUCAGUGUCGAAGCGAAGGUGAUAAGUCCACUGCCUGGGGAGUACGGUCGCAAGGCUGAAACUUAAAUGAAUUGGCGG
Molecule: ribosomal RNA, 417 nt
Filed under: uncultured archaeon
Lineage: Archaea
Description: bacterial SSU rRNA
Rfam family: Archaeal small subunit ribosomal RNA
Source: RNAcentral